UUAUUUUGCUUUUCUUUUUCAAAAAACCUGGAUCUUUUUUUUCUUUAUUGAUGGAAAUCAGGUCCAUCAGGAUUUGAAUAAAUUUUUAGGAGAUUCCAAUCACUGGUAAUUACACAAGCUACAAGAUUGUACAUUGUUGUAAUUAAUUUCUACAUAUAAACAAGAACUUUGUUUUCAAAGCUAAAUAUAUUUUGUUUUAACACUCUGAUUUAUGAGAAAUAUAGCAUACAUCCAUUAGAUUCAUACAUAUUCUUUAGGAUGCGUUUCUUUAAAAAAAAAAAUCCUAAUAUUAAAUUUCAAAUCUGUACAAAUAAUCUCAAAAAAUGAUGCAUAAACUAUGGUCUGAAGGGAAAACUGCUGCAUACACAGAGAAAAGCUAAAAAAAAUUUGUGUAAACAAUUGUUAUAAAAAACAACCGACCCAUCAAGUAUACAUACUU
This is a non-coding RNA of Biomphalaria pfeifferi, 439 nucleotides long. The record is from the annotation of a GenBank genome assembly. Lineage: Eukaryota; Metazoa; Mollusca; Gastropoda; Planorbidae.